RNAcentral lists this long non-coding RNA (546 nucleotides) under Phoenix dactylifera (date palm). Its description in RNAcentral is "long non-coding RNA (PDAC_LNC022035)". The record is from RNAcentral. Lineage: Eukaryota; Viridiplantae; Streptophyta; Magnoliopsida; Arecales; Arecaceae.
UUCAAUUGCUCCUCAUUUUUCUUUGUUUUUGCACAUUCUUUAUUGAUUUAUGUUAUCUUGAUUCCUGACUUUCGUUUUUGUUUAUUACCCCCCUGGAAAAUAGGACAAGUCUUCUUUUUUCCAUUGAUCUCAGCAAAACCAACACACAAAGAAGUUACUCAGUAUGAUAGUUUUUUCCAUUCUAUGUUUCAGCUUUUCUUUUUUAACCUCUCCCAAUUAUCCCUUUCCCUUCUUUCCUAAUCAUCCACCUGUCUGGCCUUCAUAUUUUCUUAGUUUCAAUAGAAAGAUCCAAAAUUGGUGAAGCAGACUUAUUAAUCUCUGUUUUAACUAUUUUUCACAAAAUGGUGGAUGGGAUAAGUACUACAACUGCACUAUCAAAUUAGUCAGCAUUUUACAAACUUUCCAUGCUUUAAUCACUUUCAUCCCAUGUAAAUAGUUACUCGGAUUGCAAUGGUAUAGGUUAAAGUUCGCAAUUUUUACCCACAGUAGAUCAGCAACACUUCCAGCGACACAACUCUAUUUAUGUAUUUAUCUAUGUAUAACCAG